UACGGAGGAUGCAAGCGUUAUCCGGAAUGAUUGGGCGUAAAGCGUCCGCAGGUGGCAAUGUAAGUCUGCUGUCAAAGCGUCUGGCUCAACCAGAUAAAGGCAGUGGAAACUACAUAGCUAGAGUAAGGUAGGGGUAGAGGGAAUUCCUGGUGUAGCGGUGAAAUGCGUAGAGAUCAGGAAGAACACCGGUGGCGAAAGCGCUCUGCUGGACCUUAACUGACAUUGAGGGACGAAAGCUAGGGGAGCGAAUGGG
RNAcentral lists this ribosomal RNA (253 nucleotides) under uncultured bacterium. RNAcentral describes it as "partial 16S ribosomal RNA". It matches the Rfam family "Bacterial small subunit ribosomal RNA", at positions 524 to 776 of the family's 1533-position model. The record is from RNAcentral.